UAAUAAUACAUGCAUUAAACUUGAUUAAAAUGAUUUUUUGACAAUAUUUUUAUUAGGUAAGCAAAAAUAAAAAUUCAAUUAAAAUGUGUGCAAAAAAUCAAAUGUUGUAACCAAAUAUUUGGAGCGCUGUUUUUCAUAAAUAAAGCACGCGAAAGAGGAACAUCAUUGCUUCUGUAACCUUUUGCAUCGACUAGCUAAUUUUAUUCUAACAUCAUGAAGCAAAUGAUAUUCGUUUUCGCUUUUAUGCUGAUCGCAUACUGUUCGUGCGACACAAUACAAGAAUGGUGUUGGAAAGACAAUGUUCAUUUCCAAAAAAAAGGUACAGGCAAUGUAAUUGCCACAUUAUGGCUUGACGCUGGAGUUGACGCUGACUUAUCUCGAAAAUGCAUCGCAGAGUGCUACAAACGCCGUAACUGCAAGCAGAUUUCAUACAACCAUCAAGCACUUCAGCUUUCGCAUGAAUGUAUCUUGUACAGCUCUGCAGGUGGAAGGUUUGAUCAAGAAUGGAAAACCAUCCAAUGCCCAUACUGUCCUGACUGCUAAACUACCUUAUGUUAUGUUUUUGUGAUUUUAAAAAUAAAUAGCAACUGAUUUGAUUUA
Molecule: long non-coding RNA, 600 nt
Organism: Hydractinia symbiolongicarpus
Lineage: Eukaryota; Metazoa; Cnidaria; Hydrozoa; Anthoathecata; Hydractiniidae
Exons: 2
Source: RefSeq, a predicted model, not a curated record